This is a long non-coding RNA of Parus major (Great Tit), 3694 nucleotides long. RefSeq lists it as uncharacterized. Lineage: Eukaryota; Metazoa; Chordata; Aves; Passeriformes; Paridae. The record is from RefSeq and is a predicted model, not a curated record. The transcript has 4 exons.
CUGGCAGCAGAAAGACAUUGCCCCUUGUCCUGUCCCUCCAGGCCCUCGUCCAAAGGCCCUCUCCAGCUCUCUUGCAGCCCCUUUAGGGGGCACUGACAGGGACUCUAAGGUCUUCCCAAGACUCUAAGGUCUUUCUUCUGCAAGCUGAACACCCCCCAACUCUCCCAGUCUGUCUCCGAGCAGAGGUGCUCCAGCCCUGAGAGCAUCUCUGUGGCCUCCUGGGGACUCUCCAGCAGCUCCAUGUCCUUCUGAUGUUGGACCCCAGAGUUGGAGGCAGCUCUGCAGGUGGGAUCUCACCUGAACAGAGCAGGGGGGCAAAAUCCCCUCUCCCCUGCUGCCAAUGCUGGGGGAUCAGCCCAGCACACGGGGAGUUCUAGGUGCCAGCACACACACCUGGGACAUGUUGAAUGUCUCAUCCCCCAGCACCCCCAAGUCCUUCUGCUCAAAGCUGGCUCCAUCCCUUCAGCUCCCAGCCUUUGUGGAUACUGGGGUUGACCACAUACUGCUCUGCCAUACAUGCUCUGAAAUGCACAGAAAAGAGAGUAAACAUCAGAGGGAGGAGAACAAGGCCUCACUUCAGGCACUCUUCAUUUGCUGGAAGGCCACAUUUCCCUGGAGCCUUCUUUUCUCCAGGGAGAGCACUCCCAGCUCUCCCAGUCUGUCUCCAGCCCUCAGAGCAUCUCUGUGGCCUCCUCUGGACUCUCCUCAACAGCUUCAUGGCCUUCUGAUGCUGGGGACUGUCGCUGUUGACCUCAUUAAAGGAAGAAGAGGCACACUUUUCAUGGAACAAAAGAAGGGGACCCCAGAGCUGGAGGCAGAUCUGAAGGUGGGGUCUCACCUGAGUGGAGCAGAGGGGCAGGAUCCACCCCACCUCCUACAACCCCCCUCCUCGACUUCCCAAGAUGUGAGACCAAUUCAGGAUGUUUGAAUUAAUUUCUCUUAUAUAUUUUUUUCUGAGGAUAAGUUUUGGUGAGUACCUUCAGCUAUUACUUAAAGGUAUGUUAUGGAUUUUCUACGAUCAGCAUUUUCCAGUUUUCUAACUUGGCUGAAAAGCUUCCGCAAAGAAAACAAUAAAUUUGGAGUAAAUAAAUGCUGCCAUACACCCCAAAACAAAUUUAUGAUCUGGAUAGCCUUAAGACUUCUAAAUAAAGACCACAUGCAUUUUUUUUUUCAGGCAUUUUAUUUGGCAUGUGUUCCUGGAAGACCAGGACUCAGUGGUGGGAUUAGGAACUGACUAAACAAAACCUGUAGUCAUGCUUAGGAGAUUGCCAACAUUUUUAAGGCUCUUUGAGAAAACACCAAACAAAUUAGUUUGAAAUUAAGUUGAAGAUACUUUCUCAACAUCUUUUUCUCACCAGAGGCAAAUACUUUUUACCUUUUAUUGUUCAUAGAAAGCUGGGGAACUCAUUUGAUAUUCACUCCUCUGAGUAGACCUGCCUCUAGCCUACCAUACACUUUUAAUACUAGUCCUAAAAAGAGUCCAGGUACAGUUCUAGGUACUGGAGGGAUUUCAGAAAUGCUUUUGUGCUGCAUGCCAAAAUGCUAAGAGCAGGGAGAGAUUGUGUCAUCAGUUUUCAGUCAAAUCCCUCUGUGCCUCUUCCUAAGUUGCCAAAAAAGUUAUAGAUAAAAUAAUGAGCAAAGACUUUCCAUACAGCUUAAAAAAUGGGAUUUCUCUCCACAAUGGCUGUAGGUGGUUUGGGGUGUUGUGAUGAAGGACCUGGUCCUGUCUGGCUUCAUAUAACAGCGGUAAGAGGAGGAGUAUACUUGUGCUUGGCUUAGCUUGCACAUUUGCUCCAUUUUGCACCAAAUUUGGUCAUCAUAUUUUACAAUUCUACUCCAAGCAGGAAAUCUAGAUUAUGGUUCAGUGACUGCCUUAAUUUUUACAGACAAAUCAUGAUCUUUAUUGGUGGAAUUAUGAGCGAGCUGGAUCUUACUCUCUUUGUGUAAUGAGGCCAAUAUAUUGCUACUAGCACGAAGUUUUAAAUUUCAUGUAACAAAGAACAAAGGUAGUUUUCUAUGUGCUUUCCUUCUUUCUUUCCCUCUCCCUCUCACUCUCCCUCUCUGUUUUCAUCGUUUCUUUCUUCCUUCUCAUUUUUCCCCUACUCUUUUUCCUUCAUUUCUUCCUUUUCGGUUUUGCUUUUUCCAAAACAGAGAUCCAAAUUUCUAGAAUUCUCUUGCAGUGCUGGUGAUUAUGCUAGUCUGAAAUGGGAAAGACUUAUUCCAGACCCCUGAAGAGCAAUGGUUUUGUAGGGACUGCAUUGUCCAUCACCUUUAGAGGAAGCAGAGCCAACUGAAUUAAGCAUCCACUUCCUUGGAUGCUGGAGAAGGGUGAGGCAAAUCAAAACUUUUGUGGGCAAGGUUUCAUGGUUAGGGUUGGAUGGGACCGACCAUCACCUAAAACACAGCAGCUUCCUACCAAAGUGCCAGUUCUGACCUCAGCUCCAAUUGCCCUUUGGAGCAUUUCCUCUCUCUCCACUGACUAUGGAAGUUCCAAACCAUCUUAGACAAUUACUCUUAAAUGCUUUAAAUUGUCUGGUGUGAAUAACCCCUGUUCCUUUAUCUCCAUCCAGGUUCUGUUGGAAUCCAAACCGGAAAGUCAAAGUGAGGAAUAUGGACAUGGGGUGAAAUCAUGUGCCUUGCAACAAAUUAUUUAGCAGUGAUAAGCUCCAGGUUUUUUUUCAGGAUAGGAGUGAUUAAAAGGAUAUGCAAAGGAUGACAAGGAUUGGCCCAUGAUGCUUCCAGAGGUGGUGCCACAGCCAGAAGAGCACAUCUGAUUUCUCAGGUCCUGGGAUGGGUUGGCAGCAUGAGAAGCAGGAGCCAUGGUUUAUCUAUAAACAGUGCAGUAUUAUAGUGGUAUCACUGUAGCACAAUAAACAUUGAGUCCCAUGGUACCAGUUUCACAGUCUCCAUGCAGACCAAAGCCUUGCUUUAAUAUUACUUGCACUUAAUCUUCAGUUUGUAAUAUUUAUUUAAUUUCUUCUUGUUAAGAACCCCAGAGGAAGGAUAGGCUCUAAGAGUCUAAACUCUCCUGGAUUGCAGUUCUAAACUAUUAAUCUGUCAUGUCAGCAUAUUUUAUUAAUACUGUUUUCCUGUGUACAAUUGGUGGAAUACAUCAUAAGUCACUUACCAUCUGCUGUGUAACUGUGUUGUAAAGUGUCUUUCUUCCAUAGAUUAUUGCUUUGAUAGAUUAGAGUUUUGUACAGUCGUGAUACCUCAUCCCAUCAAUUUUAAUCUCUCAGGAGGACAUUCAUGGCUGAAGUAUCUGCUCAUUGCAGAAGUCUUUAAUGACCUCUCACUGUGUCCCCACAGGCUAGGGAAGUGCUAUUAUGCUUGCUUGCCAGAUGAGAACACGUAUCCAGGUUUUGUGCUGCAUUGCUUCAAUGAAGUGUGCUUUCUCCUUCUCUUCCACCCCUUCCGUUCCAGGCAAAGGGGAGAGAUAAGCAGGUCUAGGAGGGAACAUCCUUUUCUCCAAACUGAAUUGGGGAUGGAUUGGUGUUUGGAUGCUUUCCUAGGAGUCCCUUGUAGCAUCCUAGGUACUGAGCCAUCUGUUGUGUUCUUUGGAGCCUGAACAUGUCUACACCAUCAGCUUUUACAGGCAGAGCUGCAUGAGUGCCAUGGGUGACCUACUGACCAUCAAAGAGAAGCAGCAACACCCAUGGAAGAAAAGCUCACUUGAUGGAUUCUUAAAUAUAAA